AUAAAGCUGAAGAGUCCCAAAUGGGGCGAAACGCGUGUCACACUGGAU
Non-coding RNA from Schistosoma rodhaini, 48 nucleotides. NCBI's taxonomy places the organism in Eukaryota, Metazoa, Platyhelminthes, Trematoda, Strigeidida, Schistosomatidae. The record is from Rfam.